GAUUAGAGUUUGAUCAUGGCUCAGAUUGAACGCUGGCGGCAUGCCUUACACAUGCAAGUCGAACGGCAGCGCGGGAGCAAUCCUGGCGGCGAGUGGCGAACGGGUGAGUAAUAUAUCGGAACGUGCCCAGUAGUGGGGGAUAGCCCGGCGAAAGCCGGAUUAAUACCGCAUACGACCUGAGGGUGAAAGCGGGGGAUCGCAAGACCUCGCGCUACUGGAGCGGCCGAUAUCAGAUUAGCUAGUUGGUGGGGUAAAGGCCUACCAAGGCAACGAUCUGUAGUUGGUCUGAGAGGACGACCAGCCACACUGGGACUGAGACACGGCCCAGACUCCUACGGGAGGCAGCAGUGGGGAAUUUUGGACAAUGGGCGCAAGCCUGAUCCAGCAAUGCCGCGUGCAGGAAGAAGGCCUUCGGGUUGUAAACUGCUUUUGUCAGGGAAGAAAUCUUCUGGGCUAAUACCCCGGGAGGAUGACGGUACCUGAAGAAUAAGCACCGGCUAACUACGUGCCAGCAGCCGCGGUAAUAAU
Molecule: ribosomal RNA, 528 nt
Filed under: uncultured bacterium
Lineage: Bacteria
Description: bacterial SSU rRNA
Rfam family: Bacterial small subunit ribosomal RNA
Source: RNAcentral